GAUGAAGAACGUAGCGAAAUGCGAUAAGUAAUGUGAAUUGCAGAAUUCAGUGAAUCAUCGAAUCUUUGAACGCACAUUGCGCCCAUUAGUAUUCUAGUGGGCAUGCCUGUUCGAGCGUCAUUAAGUCCACUUAAGCCCUGCUUAGUGUUGGGAGACUGCUCCAGCGGUGCUACCCUGUAGCUACCCUGCAGCUCCUCAAAGACAGCGGCGGAGUUGUGGUAUCCUCUGAGCUUAGUAACUUGUUCUAGCUUUCGANNNNACCACUUCCCCUGCCGUAAAACCCUUAAUUUUUAAUGGUUGACCUCGGAUCAGGUAGGAAUACCCGCUGAACUUAAGCAUAUCAAUAAGCGGAGGA
RNAcentral lists this unclassified non-coding RNA (355 nucleotides) under soil metagenome. Its description in RNAcentral is "partial contains 5.8S ribosomal RNA, internal transcribed spacer 2, and large subunit ribosomal RNA". The stretch from base 1 to 120 matches the Rfam family "5.8S ribosomal RNA", at positions 35 to 154 of the family's 154-position model. The record is from RNAcentral.